GAGAGUUAAACAGUACGUGAAAUUGUUGAAAGGGAAACGAUUAAAGUCAGUCGUACCUACGAGUAAUCAACCUACACGAGCGCGAUUUUGUGGGUAUGAGGAGGUAAAAACCUUCAUGCUUGCUAAUUGGUGUUCUUUGGGCGUACUUUCUCGUAUGGUUGGUUAACAUCAAUUUCGAUCGUUAUAAAAUGACGGGAGGAAUGUAGCUUCGACUUCGGUUGAAGUGUUAUAGCCUCUGGUAGAUGUAAUGAUUGGGAUUGAGGAUUGCAACGGAUACCCUCUGGGCUAUUCGUCUGAUCUCUGGAAGUUACCUUGGUGUCGAAAGCGUGCUUAUGACAUUAAGAAUGACGGCCAAAAGGUUAGAACGGAAUUAAAUUCGUUAAGGAUGUUGACGUAAUGGCUUUAAACGA
This 410-nucleotide ribosomal RNA is filed under the name uncultured Rhizophagus. RNAcentral describes it as "partial 28S ribosomal RNA". Lineage: Eukaryota; Fungi; Glomeromycota; Glomeromycetes; Glomerales; Glomeraceae. The record is from RNAcentral.